AUGAAGGAUGGAGACGUGUCUUUGAUUCUGAGGGAUGUGAUGAUUAACGACACUGGAACAUACGAGUGUCGUAUCUUCAGGAGAGGAACAAACGAUAAAAGGAGAGCUGUACAGCCCAUCAGCACCAUAUACCUGAGUGUUGUUCCUCCAGGACUUCAGCAGGAUGUUCACGUGAAGCUUGGAGAGGACAUCCCUCUUCAGUGUCAGAUUACCAAUGAUGAAAUAAUCUCAGUGCUGAAGUGGAGCAGACCUGACCUGAACACAGACGGCUACGUCUACUUCUACAGGAACAAACGCUCCUAUGAAAACUACCAACAUCCAUCUUUUCAUGGCCGAGUGAAGCUGAGGGACCCGGAGAUGAAGGAUGGAGACGUUUCUCUGAUCCUGAAGAAUGUCGUAUUUAAUGACGCUGAGAUGUAUAAGCGUCACGUAGCAGUGAGGAACUCCGGGAGAAGUAAAAGAGUUCACACUGAGAUAAGUCACUUCAUUGACCUCACAGAGAUUGACAGACCACGUGACUUUCGCGCAUUGCAUGCCGGGUACUCGUGGCAAAACAAUCAAAGCAAUGCAUCAAACGCAAGCAUUUGCAGCACCGCAAAAUGUUCAUUCUCCGGUUCCAAUACCUUCUUGCUUUUUCUUUGCCCCCCAAAAAAGUUAUGUACAAAACGAAGGAGAACAAUGCCGGUCCGUACAAAGACAGACUUGAUGAAAAGUCAAAGAAAAGAUACGAGGAAAAAAGUGAAAGGGUCAGACCCUUACAAGCACACAGAGUGGACAAAAGACGUUAGCGUGCUGCCCACUUUCACCACGCUCAUAUUUAUAAUUAUACGGUUCUUGGAGUGAGUGCAUACACUCAUGAAGUUUUCAGGUCACUGCAACAAGCCCAGGUACAGUUUACCGACGGAUGGGUACAGGAGCUUGAAAUACACCGUGUAGAACGAAAGACCAUCGUACAAACAAAGGUAAGUUUACCAGUCUCACAAAUCGUCUUCAUAAAUACACAUUUGUUAACCAUUUAUUAAUAUAACCUUUGAGCUCAAUGGUAAUUAAUUAGUAGUGGAAAUAAUUUCUGGUACGCAUUACAGAAAUGUAGCAGUGACAAUAAUAUUUUAUGCUGUAAUCGUACUGGGCAAUUAGUGAUACAAAAAACCGGCUUGCUUGUAACCUAUAUCACCAAUUAUGUUAUGAAAAAUGACGUAUUAACUACUACAAAACACUGACCUUUGUGGAAAUGCUUGGAGCAGACUAACAUGUGAGCUGGCGUGUUCUGGGACGUUAUAUUUGGUCUUUGAAUGGCUGCAAUCCAGGCCAUCCGUCGGCUUUGUUACUUCGGAAACAUGGCUCGAACAAUUUCUCUUCAACGACGUAAUCCGAUAAAAACCGAUCUCUUUACCCGUCGGCUUCCCGUGGCUGUCAUGCGACCGGCUAUUGCAGUUAAUAAUACAACAGCUUCUUGCCAAUUUUUGUGUUUCUUUUUAUCGCUGUGUAACUGAUUUCAAUUGAAAGCCUGCGUGCACUAGUACCUCUUGCCACGAGUUCCCAGAAUCCUUUGCGGUUUUACCCCUGAAUGACGUCACAUUUUCAAUCUCUAUUAAAAUUUUCUGCAGUUUUGACAUAGCGGGUUAACAGUAGCUAACAGUUAUGUUUUUAAAGAGAUAAACAUGGUCCCUAUAGAAACAAGAAUUGGCAUCCUGAUGUGGUGCAUUCUGGGUAUUAUUCAAAGGGUCGUGUCACUCUGUCUGUUAUCACCAACAACUGAAACCAGGAUCAGCUGUUAAAUGGAGAAACAUCACUCUGUCCACAUUCAACUCAGUUUUAUUUAUAUAAUCACAUUUGACUAAAGGUUUCACUUCAAAGUAAUUUAUACUGUCAGGUAAAGACACUACAAUAACAGAGAAAAC
This is a long non-coding RNA of Oreochromis niloticus (Nile tilapia), 1901 nucleotides long. The record is from Ensembl. NCBI's taxonomy places the organism in Eukaryota, Metazoa, Chordata, Actinopteri, Cichliformes, Cichlidae.